UGAUUGACCGAUUCAUUCGAUUGUUACAUUUCAUUCGGAUAUGGAGCCGCACACACGAUUCACCUCGCCGGCGUUCCCUCCCUCGCAUUUCUCUUUUUUUUUGUCUUUUAACCAAGUGUUCCUCCCUUGUUUCUCUUGACUCCGUACUUUUAAUUUAUGAUUACUCAAUUAAUAGUGGGGAAUUCGCCUAGAUGAGGCUAAAAUCCGGGAAUGCUCCGGUUUGAAGUGGCUUUGAUUGUCUCACGAGACCUUGAAAGCGUUCACACGAUUGAUUUGUGUUUGUAAUUACUCGGUCAUGUUCCUGAGAAAUAUUCUAGUCUAUGCGUUACUCGACCUUUGGACAUUUUAAUUGGGACAACUCCUCGCAGAAAAUGGUUUCCUCAAAUAUGCCGAGGAAGACCAAGAUCUUCGUAGGUCGGCUACCUGAGAAUUGUCGUAGCGAUGAGUUGCGUCAAUUAUUCCUUCGUUACGGGGAAGUAACGGAGUGUGACGUCAUGAAUCGUUAUGGUUUCGUUCACAUGGCGCGUGAGGAAGACGCGGCAGCGGCUAUCAAAGCUCUUCACAAUACGAAUUUCAAAGGAGCUACGAUAAAUGUCGAACAGUCGACUGGAAAGUCCCGAGGGGGUGGCCCAGGUGGAAGACGUGACGACAGACGGGGUGGCCCGAUGAGAGGAGGUCGUGGAGGAAGAGACGGUGGGAGGGACAGCAGACCCGGUCCCUAUGAUCGCAGAGGAGGUGGCGGGGGAUACUCUGACUACGGUAACCGGGGAAGUGGUGGUUAUGGAGAUCGUGGUGGUGAUUAUGGUGGCCCAGGGGGUGGAUAUGGUGACAGAGGGGGCUAUGGCCAGGGAGUAGGUGGAGGUGGCAUGGGUGGAUACAGUUCAUCAGCUCAGGGUAUGGGUGGAGGUGGAUAUGGGCCCUCAGGUGGCUCCGCUGGUGGGUAUGGCCCCAGUGGUACAUCAGACUAUGGAAGAAGUGGUGAUUAUGGUCGACCUAAUGACUUCGGUGGUCGAUCUGACUACGGUAACUUCCAGUCUGGUGGUGGAAUGGGUGGGGAUUUCAAUCGUGGUGUGCCUGGAGUGGGUGAUUAUGGACGUGGGGAUAAUUUUGGCAGUGGCAGGGCUGCUGAUCCGUAUACACAGAGAAAUGAUUAUGAUCGUAAUGCUGCUGGCCCCAUGCGCAAUGGCGGGGGAGCUGUUUCGUCGGGGGGAUAUGGGUCUGGAUACUCUGAUGGAGGCCAGUAUGGCAGGACUAUGGGUGGUGGACCCUCCUACAACAGCGGAGCACCCAAUUACAACAGUGGACCUGGGCCUCAGACCGAUAUGUUCAGCAGACGCCCUGGAAAUUCAGUCGCCAGUGGAGGUUACCCACCUGUUGGUGGAGGGUAAUUUUAUACCGAAGGUUAUGAUAGGCCAGACGCUUAUGGACCCCGUGGUGGCGGAGGUGGCCGCUUCCCAGGUCCGGCAGACGCAAUGCCCCCGAGGUACUAAUGCGUGUACCCCCCUCGAUAUUAAUUAAAAGACGAUAAAUAGUCGCGCACCGUUAAUGACAUUUAUUCUGUAUAAUUGUCAGCGGAGAGCGUGUCAGAAUGCGAACAAAAACAAAAUAAUUUCAUGGGAAGAAACAGGAAAUAAAUUUUGAUAAUUAAAAAAAAAAUGUCUCCUAUGCCUCAUCGUCCUGCCUUCUAAUAUCGAAGGACUGUCCUGCGUCUGGCGAGCAUUCACUGUAAACACUGAGUUCACCUGAAUGAUUGAAACAACAAAUAAUACAUUUAAACACGGUAUAGUUCGAUUUUCCACGAUACAAACCGUGAAAAUUUUUACGAUGAAAAUAAAUAGCGUUAAGGUACAUUAAGUCUACGUAUUUGAUUGUUUAGGCAGUAUCAGAAUGAUUAAUUCUGAUUUGAAUAGUGCGUAUCACCCGACUAAGCUGUAACGAUACUUUUUGUUCAACCUUGAAUUGAUAAUAAAAUACAAUUGAAAUUAGAUCGAAUAAGCAUAAUUGUUUUUAACCUGCAGAGGACGAAGAAUUUGGAGAAGAGGAUUCAAUGGUGAUUAACAGAAAGAGGGACUAACUUUAAUUUUUCAAUUGAUAGCGGACACGAUAGGAUAGAAGACGAGUUCAUGGUCCCCAAUAGUUUAGACAUUCACGUAAUUAAUGCGAUAUGUGCGCUGUAAAUGGUAGAAUCUUAAAGAAAAUACUGUAUGAUUUUUUAUGAUGUAAUGAGCAUUGCAAAAAUGUUUUAAUUGUUCAAAUCAAUGAUUCCUUGAACUACUAGCAAGGAUUGAUGUGGAAAAUAAUGGAAUUUUGUACAUGUGUAGCACAAAAAUGAUGAAUAAAUGACCGAAUAGUAGACUAGACAAGCGUCUUGUUGCGUUCGUCGAGAGUAA
This is an RNA transcript of Diachasmimorpha longicaudata, 2390 nucleotides long. RefSeq lists it as uncharacterized. The transcript has 6 exons. The record is from RefSeq and is a predicted model, not a curated record. Lineage: Eukaryota; Metazoa; Arthropoda; Insecta; Hymenoptera; Braconidae.